UGGAGGAGAUCUGACAUUCAGCUGAGGUUUGCAUCGUUUUUUUUGGGUGUAACAGUACAGUGAAUGGUUAUUAUUAAUAUUAUAAUUUUAUGAAGUUGCUAUGGGAAUGUGAAAAGUCAUCGUUCUGCAUCUGCUGCUCUCCUGUGGUAAGCAUUGGCCUGGCAGACCGCUGAUUCAUGCUAGCUCCCCCCAGUUUCACAGAAGAUCCAGACUUGUAUCCCAUUCAAGGCUUCAGAUCCCGCAUGCUUUUGUGGAUGUCACUGCUGCACUCUGGGAGCACCUCCCCAUUUCCUCCCAACAUUUUUGUGAUGCAGAGAAAUUAUGCCCAUGCUAUACAUGAGGACCUAAAACAAGUCCAGAUUUGAGAAGCAGAUCUCUGUUCGUGCCAUUUUAAUGAUCUGCAAUUUACACAAAAGAAUGGAAUACUCAAUAGACAGCUUUUGACAUUGCAUUUUUUGGAUGCAAUUCUCUGAGAACUGCUGCAGUGUGGGUCCUUUCCAUGGGGUGCAGUCCUACAGGAAUGAACUGCUUCAGCCUGCAGUUCCUGCCAGAAGACCUGUUCCUGCGUGGUCUCCUCUCUAUGGACCAGAGGUCUUGCCAAGAGCCUGCUCCAGUGCAAGCUCUCCAUGUCACAUGUUCCUUCAGGCCACAUGCACCCACUCCAGCAUGGAGUCCUCCACCGGCUGCAGUGGAUCUCUAUUCCACUGUGAAUCUCCAUGGAAUGCAAGGGGACAACCUGCCUCACCAUGGUCUUCUUCACAAGCUUCAGGUAAAUCUCUUCUCCAGCUCCUGGAGCACUUCCUACU
Columba livia (rock pigeon) is the source of this 806-nucleotide long non-coding RNA. RefSeq lists it as uncharacterized. The record is from RefSeq and is a predicted model, not a curated record. NCBI's taxonomy places the organism in Eukaryota, Metazoa, Chordata, Aves, Columbiformes, Columbidae. The transcript is spliced from 3 exons.